This 253-nucleotide ribosomal RNA is filed under the name uncultured bacterium. RNAcentral describes it as "partial 16S ribosomal RNA". It matches the Rfam family "Bacterial small subunit ribosomal RNA", at positions 524 to 776 of the family's 1533-position model. The record is from RNAcentral.
UACGUAGGGUGCAAGCGUUAAUCGGAAUUACUGGGCGUAAAGCGUGCGCAGGCGGUUUUGUAAGUCUUUCUUGAAAUCCCCGGGCUCAACCUGGGAAUGGCGAUGGUGACUGCAAGGCUAGAGUUUGGCAGAGGGGGGUAGAAUUCCACGUGUAGCAGUGAAAUGCGUAGAUAUGUGGAGGAACACCGAUGGCGAAGGCAGCCCCCUGGGUCAAAACUGACGCUCAUGCACGAAAGCGUGGGGAGCAAACAGG